GGAGGCGUAUCGAAGCGGUCAUAACGAGGCGGUCUUGAAAACCGUUUGGGUUUAAAGCCCACGGGGGUUCGAAUCCCUCCGCCUCCGCCA
This 90-nucleotide transfer RNA is filed under the name Clostridiales bacterium. Its description in RNAcentral is "tRNA-Ser". It matches the Rfam family "tRNA". Rfam says of the family: Transfer RNA (tRNA) molecules are approximately 80 nucleotides in length. Their secondary structure includes four short double-helical elements and three loops (D, anti-codon, and T loops). Lineage: Bacteria; Bacillati; Bacillota; Clostridia; Eubacteriales. The record is from RNAcentral.